This 67-nucleotide transfer RNA is filed under the name Vestalis melania. RNAcentral describes it as "tRNA-Asp". Lineage: Eukaryota; Metazoa; Arthropoda; Insecta; Odonata; Calopterygidae. The record is from RNAcentral.
GAAAGAUUAGUUAAAAUAAUAAUAGAAUGUCAAUCUAUAGUUGUUGGCUGUAGGCCAACAUCUUUUA